AACGAACGCUGGCGGCGUGCUUAACACAUGCAAGUCGAACGGCCCGGCCCUGCUUUUGUGGGCUGCUCGAUUGCCCAACGGGUGAUUACCACUUGUGUAACCUGCCCUUGACUUUCUGAUACCUUCACGAAACUGGCGCUAAUACCGGAUAGUAUCUCCUCCUGCAUUGUGGGGGUUGGUAAUUUUCGGCGGUUGGGGAUGGCAUCGCGGCUUAUCAGCUUGUUGUUGGGGUAGGGGCUUGGCAAGGCUUUGACGGGUAGCUGGCCUGCGAGGGUGACCGGACACACUGGGACGGGGAUAAGGCCCAGACUCGAACGGGAGGGAGCAGUGGGGAAUAGUGCACAAUGGGAGGAAGCCUGAUGCAGUAACGCCGCGUGGGGGAAGACGGCAUGCGGGUAGUAAACCGCAGUCGCUUGGGACGAAGCGAGAGUGACGGUAAUGGGUAAAGAAGCACCGGCUAACUACGUG
Molecule: ribosomal RNA, 468 nt
Filed under: uncultured bacterium
Lineage: Bacteria
Description: partial 16S ribosomal RNA
Rfam family: Bacterial small subunit ribosomal RNA
Source: RNAcentral